Molecule: long non-coding RNA, 470 nt
Filed under: Ficedula albicollis (Collared flycatcher)
Lineage: Eukaryota; Metazoa; Chordata; Aves; Passeriformes; Muscicapidae
Description: lncRNA (ENSFALG00000023101.1)
Source: RNAcentral
GGGGGGGGGGGGGGGGGGGGGGGGGGGGGGGGGGGGGGGGGGGGGGGGGGGGGGGGGGGGGGGGGGGGGGGGGGGGGGGGGGGGGGGGGGGGGGGGGGGGGGGGGGGGGGGAAAAGGUCCCAGAUUCACCAAAAAUCACCCAAAAUUGUCCCAAAAUUACCCAAAAUGAUCCAAGAUUCACAAAAAAUGGUCCCAGAAUCACCCAAAAUCACCCAAAAUGAUCCCAGAUUCACCCAAAAUUCACCCAAAAUCACCCAAAAUCACCCAAAAUCACCCAAAAUGAUCCCAGAUUCACCCAGUUUUUCCCAAAAUCACCCAAAAUGAUCCCAGAAACUGCUCUGGGGGGGGACAGAAACUGCUCUGGGGACACAAACUGCUGGGGGGGGGGGGGGGGGGGGGGGGGGGGGGGGGGGGGGGGGGGGGGGGGGGGGGGGGGGGGGGGGGGGGGGGGGGGGGGGGGGGGGGGGGGG